AUGUCUGCGUCUCCUAAUGAGUGUUUCCCGUGCAUCAUCGUUGCAGGCUCACCUUGUGGGUCCGACACAAGCAGCCUCAGUGCUUGGCUGGAGGAGAGCUUUGGCAAAUUCUCCAUCUAUGUGGAUUACAACGACCUGCGUGAGAUCAAUGCAGGCUUUGGCAGCUUUGAGGCGCUGGACAUUCUGAGCUCUUCUCAGGUCGCUCAACUGACGCUAGAGUCUGGAGCGCUGAACAGCGCGUCUCUGAUAAACAUGGUCUUUGAACGGCUAGAGCACGGCAACUCUUUCCAGAAUGUGGAAGAGUUCUUCGUGGCCCUCCACCAGACCUCACAGGUACGUCCUCGUGACUAAGAUGGCAAGCCAUAUUUUUGGGCCUGAGUUGGCCAAUUUUAAAGUGCAUUCGUGACACAAUUCCAGUUGUGACGUUCGCUUUCUGUGUGUCAUUCCCUCCAGGAUUUGGACAUCAGUCCUGUGGUGAGGGACAUCAUGAUGAAUCGAACCUUCACUAUCAUCAGUCUUCAUUUUGCCGAAUUUGUGACCGGCGACUGGGCUUCCUGGUUCACGGUGAAACUGACGCCUCUCCUUCCCCAGCUGGACUGCAGAGAUGCUCCAGACAGCGACCGUCACACACCGACUGCAACGGAUACCACAUCAUGUACGUAGCGCUCCCUAGCUUUGUGACCGCUCUGUAACGCCCCCUCUAGUUACACUGUCAAAAAGACUGUGAGGUCGUUUCUCAAGUAGUCUCUAAAGGGUGGUGAAGAUCUACGUUAAUGAGGCAUCGUCCUUACCUUUUUGUUGUGAUCUUUGCACUCUAGGGUUGUGGCUCUGAGCAGCGUCUUUGACCAGAUGACUUUGCUGAGACGGCAGGAGCUGGCCCCAGUCCUGUUGGGCUACCUGAAGCAGAGACACGCCUCGGGUAGGUCCAGUGAAGGUGGUGCUUUUUUGUGUCGUGUGCCUAAGAGAAAAGGCCUGUGGUGCCCUGGCUUUAUGAAUGUCUGCGUCUCCUAAUGAGUGUUUCCCGUGCAUCAUCGUUGCAGGCUCACCUUGUGGGUCCGACACAAGCAGCCUCAGUGCUUGGCUGGAGGAGAGCUUUGGCAAAUUCUCCAUCUAUGUGGAUUACAACGACCUGCGUGAGAUCAAUGCAGGCUUUGGCAGCGUAAGCGGACCCGCCGUGAUACCCAUUUGUUUCCCGUGACUGUUUUGGCCAACCAUGUUACGUCUAAUGAUUUUGUUGUUUUUCUCCCCUGAAGUUUGAGGCGCUGGACAUUCUGAGCUCUUCUCAGGUCGCUCAACUGACGCUAGAGUCUGGAGCGCUGAACAGCGCGUCUCUGAUAAACAUGGUCUUUGAACGGCUAGAGCACGGCAACUCUUUCCAGAAUGUGGAAGAGUUCUUCGUGGCCCUCCACCAGACCUCACAGGUACGUCCUCGUGACUAAGAUGGCAAGCCAUAUUUUGGGCCUGAGUUGGCCAUUUUUAAAAGUGCAUUCGUGACACAAUUCCAGUUGUGACGUUCGCUUUCUGUGUGUCAUUCCCUCCAGGAUUUGGACAUCAGUCCUGUGGUGAGGGACAUCAUGAUGAAUCGAACCUUCACUAUCAUCAGUCUUCAUUUUGCCGAAUUUGUGACCGCGACUGGGCUUCCUGGUUCACGGUGAAACUGACGCCUCUCCUUCCC
Cyprinus carpio carpio is the source of this 1675-nucleotide long non-coding RNA. The record is from Ensembl. Lineage: Eukaryota; Metazoa; Chordata; Actinopteri; Cypriniformes; Cyprinidae.